UUUAAUUACUCGUGCUUAAUCUCGCAUGUUUAGGAUUUGGGCAUAAAGUACUUAAAGCCACUGUUUUCUGCUUGAGGGAAGUUGGUAUGUUGAAUAUGUUUAGCUUUCUUGUGGCAUUUUAACACUAGAUAUCAGUGAGUAAGCUGGAUUGUGACAGUUUAUAAUUCCCGUGGGCCUUCCUCCUUCAGUUUAAGCUUGAAGCGUUCGUAAGGUUCUCAAAGACUACAGAAGUUGGAAACUUCGCGGAGAGACUGCAAGUUACCCUUUCCAAAAUGGCGGGAAGGGCUAAAAACAAAGAAAGCUCGCACCCAGACGGCGGGCCUUAAACCAAGGCGAAUCCGUGAGCGCAACACAUCUGCUUCUGUGGCUCCUGAUGGAUCUGAGAAGAUGGACGUGGAGGAUGAAAAUCUGUCUGAUUAUUUUGAACUGAUGUUUGUUGCUAUGGAGAUGCUGCCUAUAUGUUGAUGUUGCAGACGUUAAGUCACUAGCCCACAGCCUUGUAUUCCAUACUCAGAGACCCUGCUACUUACUUGACAUCUCAACUUGAAAGUCCAAUUAAUAUGCACUUCAAACUUUAAUAGGCUUCAAACAGAAUUUCUUUCAUUAUCUCUGCAAAACAGCUUCUCUCAUCAUCUUGAAAUUAGUGAAUGGCAUUUUACUGUUUUAGUUGGAGUCAUUUCUGUGGUUUUCUUUCACAUCCUACAUAACAAUCCAUCAGUAAGUUCUAUGAGCUCUUCUUUGAAAACAAACAGAAUCCAACUGUUUCAUUCCCACUUCUGCUCUGGUCAAGCCACUGCCAACACUCACCUUUAUUAUUGUAGCACCCUCAUUGCCUAGUUCUGUCCCACAGAUUUCCAAUAAAAGGUGAAUAAAAUCAGGUCACUCUUCUGCUGAAAACCCUCCAAUGGCUCUCAUUUCGCUAAAAAGAAAACCCAAAGUCCUUUCAGUACCUUGCAAGGCCCCACACUCUGGCUCUUGUUAUCUCUUUGGCCUCAAAUCCCACUACUCCUUUCCUUCCUCGCGCAGCUCCGCUAGCCUCAAACUUGCUGUAAGUAUGUAUCUUUCAGGGACUAUAUAUUGACAGUUCCCUUUGUGUGGGCAACUCAGCUUCUAGAUUUAAGUGUUGCUGCCUCACUUCUUUCAAAUAACACCCUCUGUGUGAGGCUGGUUGUGACCCCACUGGCAUUACAAUCCUGCUCCCUUCCUCACGGCCUUCCCACUAUAUUUUUCCCUGCUCCUAAGGAUCCUGCAGUCUAUUUGGAGAGUGAAAACAUAUCCUUAUGAAAAGGAAAGCAGGAAUGGAAUAUUAUAUGGAAUGUCAGAUGAGUGUAAUUCAAGUCAGUAUCAGAAGUGAUAGUUCCUGGCUUGGUGCCAGAUGUUGGAGGCCUGUUGGGCCAAUGACAGGAAUGUAGACUUUAUUCUGGACAGCAGAGAACCAUACAAAAUCUCCCCUCCCUGCUUUGGUUCUGAUUAUGUCACAAUUCUAGCAUCUUUCAUGAAACUAGUUUUUGCACUGAGCAUAUUAGACUCAAAUUAUGUGUUUAUCUUAAUAAGUGCCUAGAUGAAUAUAAAUAAAAUGAAUAUAAAUCUAAA
This 1593-nucleotide long non-coding RNA is filed under the name Homo sapiens (human). Its description in RNAcentral is "HSALNT0333311". The record is from RNAcentral. Lineage: Eukaryota; Metazoa; Chordata; Mammalia; Primates; Hominidae.